GUUUUAACGAGAGAGAGCGAUGGAGGGACGAUCGUGAGCGAUUGGGUUUCUGAGAGAGAGCGAUGAGGAAGGAUUCGCAGCAUGAGGGCGAUGAGGGAGUGUUACUGUUGAUACCAUUUUCUUUCUUCCCUUUUAUUUCAUUUUUUGAAAAAGAAAUAACAUUUAAGCCACUUAAAAAAAAACCAUUAAAAAAAAUUUAAUACUUUAGUUUUUCUUUGCACUUUUUAUUAAUUAGUUUUAUGCUUCCAAUCCAUCAGAAACCCAACAGCCAUGCGGCUGGGUUUAAUUACCAGUAGACCAACAGUUUUCUUUUAUUUUAGUUUUUAUUUUAAUCCUUUUUUUUAAUUUAUAUUAGUUUAUACAUUUAAGUUAGCAUUAAAAUAUCAGUUAGUUAGUAAGUGGUCUGGUGGAGGGGAGUGGCUUCUAGAUCUUU
Molecule: long non-coding RNA, 433 nt
Filed under: Lathyrus oleraceus (garden pea)
Lineage: Eukaryota; Viridiplantae; Streptophyta; Magnoliopsida; Fabales; Fabaceae
Description: Pisum sativum (pea) long non-coding RNA (PSAT_LNC008476)
Source: RNAcentral